This 268-nucleotide long non-coding RNA is filed under the name Gossypium raimondii (Peruvian cotton). RNAcentral describes it as "long non-coding RNA (GRAI_LNC001491)". Lineage: Eukaryota; Viridiplantae; Streptophyta; Magnoliopsida; Malvales; Malvaceae. The record is from RNAcentral.
UUAUUAAAAAAAUUUGAAAAAAAAUUAAAAAAAUUUUAAAAAAUUUCCAUUCAUUUUUAUUUUUUUAUUACUUAUUUCGUUCGCAUUGUCGUUUUCCCAUCCAACAUCUCCUCCCUUUCCCUUCUAUCCCAAUUGCAACCACAUAACCACCAUUGUUGUUCCUCCAACGACGACCACAACCCCGUUUCCUCCAUCCCCAUCUAAGCCUUUACCCCUCCGUCUUUCCUCUAUUUUUCCCUUCAUAAUACCGUCGAUCACCUACCACCCC